GGAAUAUCGCUGUUGCUUUCGUAUAAAUGAAGCGGACAUACCUGCGUGGCCGCGAUCUAAUCCUGUUUACGCUUACGGCUCUGUUGCUAUGACAGCAAGUCUCGGAUGAGCUUCGGGGAACCGAACGAUCCAGGAUCACGCGAAAUCGUCAACAAUCAAAUCCAGCUAACUUACUUAGCGAGGUACGAAGAACGGACCCCUGCAGUGAAUAAUCCUGAAUGUUACAUUUAGGAAGCUGCAUGUAUAGAUAUGUAUAUCAAGUUUAUGUUUUUUUCCUUUGAGGGAUUUUAAUUCUCUAAAAUGUUAUCCCUGUUACAUUUUAACCUUUGUUCCCUUAGGACACAGUAGUGUUUAGUAGUUGUACUAUUAAAGUUAUAGGAAUGUCUUUUCUUUCUUUUUUUUAACCAAACUGGUAUUCUAUCAAAAAUCAAAUAUGGAUAUGUAAAUCAUUUCUUUUAUUUGAACUUUUUUAGCUUUUCCAAAAUUAACUUAUUUUUUAUGUAUUCAUUGCAUGUUUCACCUCAGUUAAAUUUCAAUCCUUCAUUCAUAUUUAAACUUUUGCUGUGGUAAAAUCUUCUCUUAAAUCCUUUUCUCCCAAAACUGCAAAUAUUUUCACAGCAGUUGCUCUUAAAACUUCCAAAAUGAACUAAAUCUGUCCACCGGCUUUGAAACAACACCUGCUGUGACUUUAUGUCCAGAAAAAAGAAACUCAAGCUGAACUGGUUUUGGGCUGUAUUUCCAUGUAAUACCUUUUUUUUUUUUCCAGAAGAUGGAGCAGUGAUGCUGUGUAACCUUUAUUUAAUUAGGCAAAGAACACAAUAUUCACAGUGGCAGCAAAGAACUGUUAAAAGUUAAAAACAGCAGCACACAUCAGAACCAUUUUAAAGAUUACAGGUGACUACUUUUAGUUAAUUCAAAUCCUAUUAAACAUCUAUUUUUGGAUCCUCCUUUCACUUUAGUGUAUUUACUGUAUCCUUGAAGUCCACGUUGUUUUUUUAAUGAAUUCAUUUUGAUCCACAUGUUCUGCAGCUGUUUGCCUUUUGAUUUGAAGUUUGCAUUAUGAAAUCCUGAUACUGUUAAAGCAUCAGUUAUAAUUGAUGAACUCUGUGUAAAGUUU
This is a long non-coding RNA of Astatotilapia calliptera (eastern happy), 1117 nucleotides long. Lineage: Eukaryota; Metazoa; Chordata; Actinopteri; Cichliformes; Cichlidae. The record is from Ensembl.